GGAAAAAUGAAAAAGCUCACCGUCUUCGUUUAUUCUUAGUUUUCCCUCGCCCGACCUAGCAGCUCCUCUUCUUCGCUGCUCUUCCUCCAUCACUGCUCUCUUGUAUCGGUCUACAAAGUACAAACCAACAACCAAAGCAGCCUCUCACCCCGUGCUUUCCCGUACCCAGUGAAAAAAUCAAAACAUCUCUUUUUUACCUCACUAUCAGAUCCAUUCAUUCCUCUCAUCUCAAAACCAUGAGAGGUUCUUCUUCCCCAGAAGAGACGGAAGCUAGAGACGCACCGCCCAAGCUAGGUUUUGGACACAAAAGAUUCUUCUUCAACCUCUCCUCCAGCUAACUUGGGUUUUGGUUGAGUUCUUCAAUUUCACGAACGAUUCCGAAGUAUUGAUUCACUACUGUUGGAUGGUUUGGGUGUUUGGGCUUCUAUCGAUUUAGAGAUGUGGGUGACUGAAAUAGAGUUGGGUCUUACUCUAAUUUAGGAGUUGGGUCUCACACCUGGCAUCGUAUCUCUCAGUCUCCGUGAAUUGAACAUCCAGAGUUGUCAGGGAUUAUCAAGCCUAGAAUUGGGCUCGAUAACUGCACCUCUCUUCAGCACUUGUGCAUAAGGGAUUGCCCUAAUCUGAUAUCAAUUCCAAUCACGCAGUGCAUGCCGUCUCUCUGGAGAUUGGAUAUCAUCAGAUCGUGUGAGAGAUUAUCAAGCCUAGUUGGGCUCGACUACUGCAACUCUCUUAAGCAAUUGUAGGUAAUGAUAUGUAAUAAUCUAAUAUCAAUUAUUGGUGUUCAGAGAUUAUUAAGCCUACCGAGUGGGCUCCAAUUAUGCACCUCUCUUCAGAAAGUAUAAUGUGUGUUUGUUCUUGUUCCCUCUAUCACUUUCAUCUUGUUAUUUAAAUUAUUGGUUAUCCUCAUGUUUUGUGUCCCAUUAUUUCUCUUCCUGUAUAAGUACUAGUUUUUGUGAUGGGGAAGUUCAUCCUCUAGUAUAACCAAAAUAGACAUUGAUUAUGUUGAUAUGUUAGAUUCUCAUCUAGAACGUAGAUAUUUAAAUUUGAUUUAUCAGCACUUCUGGUAUGGACUCAAUUUCCAGGAUACCAGUCUAAAACUCCAUUAUUAACCAGAGGAAUAUUUAUGUGGAAGCAAGAGGAUAGAGACCAGACGGUAAAAAUGGAAAUUGCCAAAAGUCUUCUCCUACCUUCCACUCACAAUUACUCAAUUUGUCAGAGAAGCUUACAUCAACUCAUUUAGAGCUAGGCACGAUUCCCAAUGGACUUUCUUCAAGUCUCACAUUGUCUCAACUUUUUCCAGAACAGUUGAGUACACUUAUGUAAUUGCUCAAUCAUGAUUCUUUAAUUAGCUUUUAGCUUUCUUUAGCGAAUCUUUUCCUUCUCACUUCUCCUCUUGCAGUGAUUCUCACUAGAAAUAUAAGUUUUCCUUGCUUCCUGGAGGCUCCUUGCUCAAGUGGGGCAUUCUCAGGAUAAGAACUAAUUAACCUGCAGACCAGAGAUAGCUAGUUAUUACAUUUACUAUCAGCUGUGUGUGGUCCUGCAUUCAUAUCAUGCAGUCACUUCCAUGGAUUGGUUGGGAUGUUUAAUCACAGAACUUAUGUGUCAGUGAAUAUUAUUUUGGUAAAGAUUAUGCGAAUGGAAAUUUUGAUUCACUGAAGUAUUCAUGAAAGAUUGUCAGAAAGUUGUGUAUGUGCGUUGCAUUAUUAGUAUUUUUAACAUUUGAGCUAUAUGUUCUAAGCUUUUUUCAGCAUUUUCUUAUACCAUCUUAUAGUUCUGAGUCCAGUGAACUUGUGAUUCCCAACUAAUUUUAUGGUUAGGACACAGUUUAAUAUAGCUCUCAAGAUUCUUCUCUGCUUAGUAAAACGACAUUCCUUUUCAUUUUUUGCAAUUCAAUCAGAUUAUAGUUAUGACUCUUGACAACUUCCUUGCUACUAGGUUGAAUGUUCUGUUACUCGGUGACUUCCAACUAUUGUUGGGUUUUGCUAUUUUAUGUCAUCGUAUUGGUAGCCUCUAGUUUGUCUAUGGUCAAUGUACUACUCUCCUCCUAUGAAUUCAAUUGAUAAUGUUUAGUUUCUUGCUUUAGAACUAAAAUAAUGUUAACUUUUCCGGUAUGUUAACUUUUCACUUUCCUGGGGAUUUUUUUUGAUACGAUCACUUUUCGGUUUAUUUCGGUUUCUGUUUUCCGUGUCAUUUUAGAUUCCAAUAUCUUUUUCUUUGUUUAUUGAAGAUAGCUCUAAGUAAUGAUUGUUAGAUAUUGUUAAGAAACAAAAUAAAAUUAAAUAGGCUGCCCAGAAUUGAAUAUCAAGUUAAAUUACAUUUGUUGAAAUUGUUUACAGAUAAUAGUAACAAUGAGUUAACUACCAAUUAAGACUUGCGAAGAAUCCAAGCCUUCAGUUCGCCAAUUCCUUGUCAUGCUUUUCUCAGAUCUGUUUUUGUACAGGAUUCCACUUUCUUUCCAAAUUAGGGAUUUAGGUUUUCUUCUUUGUCUGAUGAAGGAAGGACUGAUGAAGGAGAUGCAGAGGUCGAAGGAGGGACAGAUGAAGAAGAUGCAGAGGAAGAAGACGGAGGUUUCAAAGUUGGGAAAGUUGAAAUGUAGGGAUGAACAUGAUUCUGUACAAGAUGUAAAAGCAGAUGACCUACGGCAGAUGCUUCUAGCCAUGACAGAGGAGUAUUUAUAAAUCUGUUCUCAAAUCUAAAGGUUCAAUUAAUGAGGUCAAUCAAUAUUUGUUCUGCUAUUUGCCUUUAACACCUUAUACUUUCAUGUUUAUACACUGGGAAUUUUGUUCUAGAUACUGCAUGCUUGACCAUGCUUAGAUGUUUCAUCUAGUUUCUCAAUGAAUUUUGUUCCAGGGGUUGGCUGUUGUUGCAAUAUUGAGGCACUUUAGAUACCCUUGCAGGUUCAUUUAGCACCUGGACGCAAAUUUAAUUUUCAAAAAUAUAACAAAAGAUCAUUAGAAGAUGACUUUAAGGUGGUUGUGGGAAUCAUGUGCUAUUGCCAACCUUUUCUUUCUUCAUGUUCUGGACUACGAUGACGCUCUAUUUGCUACUCAAUGUUCGUGAUGGUUUCAACAAUGAAGAAGUCGAUCUUUGAUGAACAAACUAACAAGGCCUUAAGGAAAUUGCAAAAGAAUGCUCAAAAGAAGAGAAGGCAUCAUGAUGUGGUUCGAGCUGAAUGGGCAAAUCAUGUUAUACAGUUCGAAUUUUGGUUCUGUUUAAGGUAGAUGAGUAGCACUUGGAACUGCUUUUGUGCAUUCAUAUAUAACUGAUGGAAAGUGUUGAUGAACUUAAAUUAUGCAUGCAGUUGCUCUGUCUAGCUACUCUUUCUUUACCUUAUAGGUUUUUGACUUGGUGCACUAGGUAAAUGAUCGAGAUAAGAUGGUUUUUUGGUUCUCUUGAUCAUAAUGUAACUGUUGGCUAGGUUUAGAGUUGGAACUAUGGAUUGUAUUUUGGAUGAUGUUGAUGCAAUUAAUGAAACGAAGCCAUCAUUUUCAAUGCUGAUUUUAGUCCAA
Rosa rugosa (rugosa rose) is the source of this 3509-nucleotide RNA transcript. It is a transcript of the gene named putative GTP diphosphokinase RSH1, chloroplastic, with no coding region annotated. Lineage: Eukaryota; Viridiplantae; Streptophyta; Magnoliopsida; Rosales; Rosaceae. The record is from RefSeq and is a predicted model, not a curated record. The transcript has 6 exons.